GUGGGGAAUCUUAGACAAUGGGCGCAAGCCUGAUCUAGCCAUGCCGCGUGAGCGAUGAAGGCCUUAGGGUUGUAAAGCUCUUUCGUGGGGGAAGAUAAUGACUGUACCCCAAGAAGAAGCCCCGGCUAACUCCGUGCCAGCAGCCGCGGUAAUACGGAGGGGGCUAGCGUUGUUCGGAAUUACUGGGCGUAAAGCGCACGUAGGCGGACUGGAAAGUCAGGGGUGAAAUCCCGGGGCUCAACCCCGGAACUGCCUUUGAAACUCCCAGGCUUGAGUUCGAGAGAGGUGAGUGGAAUUCCGAGUGUAGAGGUGAAAUUCGUAGAUAUUCGGAGGAACACCAGUGGCGAAGGCGGCUCACUGGCUCGAUACUGACGCUGAGGUGCGAAAGCGUGGGGAGCAAACAGGAUUAGAAACCCUUGUAGUCC
Molecule: ribosomal RNA, 425 nt
Filed under: uncultured bacterium
Lineage: Bacteria
Description: partial 16S ribosomal RNA
Rfam family: Bacterial small subunit ribosomal RNA
Source: RNAcentral